UACGGAGGGGGCUAGCGUUGUUCGGAAUUACUGGGCGUAAAGCGCACGUAGGCGGCUUUGUAAGUUAGAGGUGAAAGCCCGGAGCUUAACUCCGGAACUGCCUUUAAGACUGCAUCGCUCGAAUCAUGGAGAGGUCAGUGGAAUUCCGAGUGUAGAGGUGAAAUUCGUAGAUAUUCGGAAGAACACCAGUGGCGAAGGCGACUUACUGGACACAUAUUGACGCUGAGGUGCGAAAGCGUGGGGAGCAAACAGG
This 253-nucleotide ribosomal RNA is filed under the name uncultured bacterium. RNAcentral describes it as "partial 16S ribosomal RNA". It matches the Rfam family "Bacterial small subunit ribosomal RNA", at positions 524 to 776 of the family's 1533-position model. The record is from RNAcentral.